UACGUAGGGUGCAAGCGUUGUCCGGAAUUAUUGGGCGUAAAGGGCGGGUAGGCGGUCACUGCAAGUCGGUUGUGAAAUCUCCGGGCUUAACCCGGAAAGGUCAAUCGAUACUGCAGGGCUAGAGUGCAGAAGGGGCAACUGGAAUUCUCGGUGUAGCGGUGAAAUGCGUAGAUAUCGAGAGGAACACCUGCGGCGAAGGCGGGUUGCUGGGCUGACACUGACGCUGAACUGCGAAAGCUAGGGGAGCGAACGGG
Molecule: ribosomal RNA, 254 nt
Filed under: uncultured bacterium
Lineage: Bacteria
Description: partial 16S ribosomal RNA
Rfam family: Bacterial small subunit ribosomal RNA
Source: RNAcentral